UUACAGAUGAUGAAGGAUUUCAAAGCGAAGACACCCCAUCAACUUCAAAUUGCCAUUAGAUGAUUUGAAUUUCAAUUGAACAAGCCAACAGAUCAACCUAGAUUUUCCACCACAUCCACUACAGUAAUGGGUUGACAGUGGAUACCGUGAUGUCGUCAGCUGAUUUGGUUGAACAAAAGAGGACAAGAAGAUUUUAAAAUUGCACCCAGAGUCCAACAGUGACAUUGGUGUAUGUAUACCUGUGAUGUUGGGGUUGUUAUAUAUCUACCCCUUAAACUUCAACCAGAAGAAAGGGAAACAGAAAAAAAUGGGGGAUGAAUUGGCGCAGG
Aphidius gifuensis is the source of this 329-nucleotide long non-coding RNA. RefSeq lists it as uncharacterized. Lineage: Eukaryota; Metazoa; Arthropoda; Insecta; Hymenoptera; Braconidae. The transcript is spliced from 3 exons. The record is from RefSeq and is a predicted model, not a curated record.